UUACAAGUAUGUGAGCAUUUAUGAUUUGUUGAUGAUACUUGGUGAAUGAUUAAAGUCAAUAUAUGACUAAGGUGAUUUGAGUUAUGGAACUUAAUUUGUUUAAAACAUGUAAUAUGCAGAUGAUGAUAAGUUGAGUGUUAAAAGUAUUAUUUGAAUAUGAGGCUAUGUGCUACAUGAUGCAUGAUAGACUGUUAAAUUUGCUGAGUUGUCGAGCUCAAUCUUGCAAAAAUAAAAUUUUUUGCAGGUACAUGAUUCAAUGCUAUAAUGGUUAACAUCUGGAUGAUAUGGUUAAGAAGACGAGCAAAGGAAUACUGUUUCUUUUAGUUGAAACUUAGAUGAUACUAUGAUAAUAUUGUACAAGAUACAUGUGUUUAAAUUUCUGAGAUAUUCAAUAAAAGUAGAAUAUUUGUUUAAAGUAUGUUGUGAUGAUUUCUUUAUUAAGUGAACAAAAUGUGGUAAUAGUAUUAUACAAGAAAGAUUGUAAUAAGAAUGAGUUUGUAUUUACUUUGAUAAAGGAAUCAUUAAAUGAAAUUAAUUCCGCAAUAUAUGUAAUCGUAAAGGUUGCGAUUUAGGGAAUAAAUGGAAGACAGACAGAAAAGUUUUAAGUUAUCCACAUUUUCAGCUGUUAUUACAGUUAAUUAUGAUGUAAAGCUAAAACAAGGUAGUAUUAACGCACAAGAUCGGGAAGGGAAAUGGUCCCGAUUUUGGGGGCGUUACAAAUUACAUAUAUCUUGGUUACUGUAUAAUAUGUAUUUAGAUACUGUAAGGUGUUUAUUUGGUUACUCUAUAAUGUUAUUGAGUUUAUAAUUGUUUCUUUUAUAUUGGUGGUUACUUAUUGACUACAUUGGUUACCUUCAUACAACUGUUAAUCUGAUUAUAUAUAUUGGAAGUUGUAUACUAUUUAAUUGGUUACAGUAUAAUGAUUAUUUGAUUGCAGUGACAAUUUGGCAAUUUUUAUGAAGUUUGAAGUGUCAGACUUUAGCGUUUUUGUAAGACCCCAACUUAUUAUUUAAUGAAAUUAAAUUUCUUCUAUUUAUUAUCUUGAAAUAGUAAGGGUUGAUUUGAUUAAUGUGGUAAGUUAUGGGUAAAAUGCGCAAUUAUUUCAAACAAGCAAGUGGUUUUAAAAUAUUCAUUGUUAACGGGGAAUAUUCGUUUGGUCGUUGAAUAUUUUUACUGUCGGGGAAUAUUCGUACGACGGCGCAACCUUGUGUGGGCCUCAUAACGGAAAGCGAUUGGAUGAAGAAAACGACAAAAAUAAGUUAUAACGGCGUAGUUGUUACUGUUAAUACUGUUGGAAUACCCGGUGGUUAAAACACAGUAGCACGCGGUAUUACACCAAUUAUUGAUUCUUACGUAAGAAGGCACUACUCAAUAAUUGUUACAGUAAUUACUGUUCAGUAUUUUAUUUUAUUGAUUCAAUAAUUGCUGCGUUGAUAUUUUAUAUUGCUGUUGUUUCAAUAAUUGUCAUUACACAGUAUUUUUCAUUAUCGAAGCAAUAAUUCAUAUUAUCUGAAUAAUAUUAUUAGAUAACAUUAUUGGCAAUGUCUAGAAAGUUCUGUCUAAGGAGAGGUUUGGUCACCUAAUUGCGCGCCAGUAAGGAGAAAUCCUUAUUGGAAAGCCCCCUCUUUCUUGGGAACUGCCUGGUUGUCAGUAAUGUGAUUCUGUAAUAUUAUUUGUGAAUAAUUAAUUAUUGAUUUAUAUGAUGAGGAAAAUAUUGAUUUUAUGCGGAUAUAGAUGGAGAAAAUUUUUUAAUGUGACAAUUGUUGAAAAUUAAUAUUUUAUCUUUUUCUGAUAAAAUAAUUCAUUUAAAUAUAUUAUUUUAAUAAUAUAUUAAUGGUGAUAUUUUUACAAUGAAUGUGAGAUAUAUGAGUAUAUGAGGAGAAAGAGUAUUUUUAUGGCAUUAAAUUAUUAACACAUGUUUUGUGUGUCGGUAGACCCUAAUUCUUGACCGAAAUUUGAUUAUAGCAUGUAAAAUCGCCCAUUUAUGGAUUUCGGUCAAUUUCUGUUUGGAAUUUGGAAAAACUUUCUUCUGCAAAGUUAUAGAGAAUGAAAUUUCCUAUAGAAAGGACAUGUGGUUCGAAUUUUUCUGAUAAAAGAGCUAUUUAUUAUGAAUUAUUGAAGUUCCUUAGUUCCGAAAUAAUUGAUUUUUGAAAGUUUUAAUUAUUUUUAAUUACAAAAACGUUUUUUUUUGCUUGGUGGGUUGCAUUAAACAUGUGCAAGGUGGCUGAAUUCAGAUUCAAGAGGUGGGCUUGAUAAUUUUGUAAAUAUAAUAAUAUUAUAUUAAAUUUUCUUCUUUGGUGUUCUAAGCAUUUUCCUAUAAAUAGGGUGCUUAGGUUAGAAUUGAAAAUCACACCAAAAACUGAAAUCUUCUCUCUUUCUCUCUCGAUAUAUUGAGCGUAUUCUUGUGAGUAUUUUAAUACUUUGAGUGUUUCUAUACGGUGCAAGUUCAAGUCAUAGCCUAUAUCCGGUGUUUCAACUAGAAGUACUAUCUUUUCGAGGUAAGGGGUGUUAUUUUCUUUUUAAAUGAUAUUAUUUUCUUCAAUAUCAUUAUGCCGAAAUAUUGGUUUGAACCUUUAAUCAAAUUUAGAACUUUUUGUGUCGGGGUUAUAUUCACGUAUACGGCACUGUUCACGAAUACGGCACUAUUCAUCAAAAAAUAAAAAUUUUCUUUUUCGUCCAAAAUAUCUAUUAUGGAUACUAGCUUUGAUUGUAUCCAUGUUUUGAUCAUUCUUGAAUUUCACUUCACUAUGAUUAUUUAUGAGGUAUUUUUGGACAUGAAAUAGCUGAAAUACGAAUCCUUGAUGUUUAUUCUUUUGUUUCACUGGAUUCGUUUCCUUUAAAAUAUUUUUCAUCAUCCUCAGUCCUAAAUGAUGAUAUUAUUGAAUAUCUUUAGCCUGUAGUGCAAAGAUAAAAGAUUUUAUAAUGAAUAUCUUUGACCCGUAGUGCAAAGAUGAACAUGUGUUGAGAUGAACAUGACCGACUGAUGAAUAUUUUUGACCUGUAGUGCAAAGAUGAAUAUUUGAUUCAAGAUAUAUAUUGAUUGAUGUUACAGGGAUAAAAUAUUGAUGAUGGACUUUUAAAUUCAUAGAUAAUAGUAGAUUUCAUUCUCUACGUAACUCUUCUAUGAAUUAUUAUUUUCGCUGCGAAUAUUGAUCUAAAACUUGUUGUCUAUUGUAUUCUAUCAGAUUUUUCCCUGUUGAAGACUAACGAUAAUUUGUUCUAUAUUAUCUUAGUCAUAAUAUUCUUUACUGGACUAGUUGAGCUCACCCUUUUCCUUUUUGUUCUAUUUUUCUUCUCAGGAGGCGAGAAUGUAGCGAGUACUAGUCGGGGUAUGGAAUGAUGAUUCUAGAAGUUGUUUAGUAGUCCUCACCAUUUUUGUAAAAUAAUGUAUCAAUAAUUAUGAUAAGGAUUUAUUUGGGUAUGGAUAUUGUCUAGAAGAUAAUAUUUGUAUUUAAACUUACAGUUUUUAUGAUGUAUUAAUAAAGUUGUAGUUGUUUCUAUACCAUGUUAUUGACGACCUAAAAUGGGUGAUGUAUACCUAUUUUGGGGGCAUCACAGUUUUCGGAGCCUAAUUUCAUUGAAAACGGGUCAACGAUCAAAAGUCACUAGAUUUGCUGGUGAACUGCAGGGUUUUUUUGGUUCAAAUUCCAUUAUUUAGGCCUUCAAAAUUACAUGUAAAAAUGUGGUUUAUGUUCUGGUUACUAAGAUUAUGUAAUUUGGUUACUGUUUAAUAUUGAUUUGGUUAAUUUACAAUAUUUAUUCAUUUGUUAGACAAUGGAGACUUAUAGAAACCAAUAUAACAAAUUUAAUUAUUUACAGGAAUAUAUAAUUGUUUACUGUUAGUAACCAUUAACCACAUGGUUGGUAACAUUUUUAAUGGUGUACAGUAACCAAAAUUGAUGUUGAUUAAUAUUUUAAUUUUUGAUUCCAUCAUGAGUUAUCAAUAUAAAGUAAACAUAUACAUUGAACAAUUGGUAACUGUUCUGAAACAUUUUUAUGUAAAUUUGGUUACCCGUCUAAAAUAAAAUGGUUACCUCUAUAUUCAUAUUUAAUUACCAACUGGCAUGGACCAUUUCUAAAUAAUUUUUAUAACUACGUAAUUUAAAAGUAUCCAUCAGCCAGAUAAAUGGGAACCCUCACAUGUACAUUAAGCACUUGAUAAUUGUUCUGAUAUAAGUUUUUAAUUAUUUGGUUACUAACAAAAACUAAAAUGAUUACCUUUAUAUGCAGGUUUGGUUACCAACUGCACCUCUUAACCUACUUUUAUUUUAAUAUGAGAUCUAUAAGUGACCAUCAUAUAUAUAAAUGAGAACUCUUAAUUGCAGUUUCUUAUUUUAUCAUGAUGACAUGGUAUAAAUAAAACAUAUACAUUUAACACUUUAUAUCAUUCUUGAUACAAGUUUAUAAUUAUCUAGUUACCUUUAUAGUAGCCAAACCAUAAGGUAACAGUAACCAAAACAUAAUAAAGAAAUAACCAAAUAGUUAUAUAAAAGUAACCAGAACAUGUUUUAAUGGUAACCAAAACAGAAACAACCUGUAUACCCAACCAAGUUUAGGCAACCCAUGUAUACUCUCACAUGUACAUUUAACCAAAACUUUUCCAAUGAAUUUUCUAAAAGAGCAUAACCCUUGUAGAAUAUAUUUGAAGGAAUUUACAAAAAUAAUACAUCAAUGUAUACUAAACAAAUACAUGAUUUAUUAUGACUUGGGUUUAUUAUUUACAAAAAUAAUACAUCCACAAACUAAUGAUGCCUUAAACUUCUCCAACUGACUUGGGUUCAAUUUCUUGGUAAUAAUGCUGGGGACUUCCAUGUCACACCAAUAUAUAAUUUUUCUAAUGAAUUUUCUGUUGCAUUCCUCAUAGUAAAGAUCUCAUAACUGCAAAUAAACAAAAUCAGAUUUACACAGUCAUUAGUAACCAGAUAUAAACAAUAUUUAUAACAUAAACAGUUACGUAGUGACCAACAAAUAAGAGCAUACUAACCAAAACAUAAUAUAACAAUUACACAGUAGCCAAAACAGACUAUAACAAAUAACCAACAUCCCACAUUGACUGCACAAUAAUAGUUAUCAUAUCAUAAUAUAACAUUAACCAUACCAUAAUAAAGCAGUAACCAAAAAGUUAUAUUAUAUAAUCUAAUGGUAACCAAAAUAUAAACAACAUGUAAUACAUACCAUUUUAUGUAGUAAACAAACAGUUAUAUAUAAUAUUAAUCAGAACAUAAUUUAAAGGUCACCAAAACAAAAAUAUGUAUACCAAAAAAUAUACUAAAGAAGUAACCAAACAGUUAUAUGAUAGUAACCAAACCAUGUUUUAAUGGUAACCAACACAUAAACAACAUGUAUACCAAACCCAGUUUAGUCAACCUAUAUAUACUAAGCAAAUACAUGGUAACCAGAACAACAAAAAACAGUAACCAAAAUCCUAACCCAAGGAAACAAAAAUAGAAUUCAAAUCAUAAACUAACAGUAACCAAAAAUAUACUAAAGAAGUAACCAAAUAUUUAUAUGAUAGUAACCAAAACAUGUUUUAAUGGUAACCAAUACAUAAACAACAUGUACACCAAAACCAGUUCAAUCAACCAUGUAUACUAAGCAAAUACAUGGUAACCAUAACAACAUAAAAAAGUAACCAAAAUACCAAAUCAAGAUAACAAAAAUAGUAUCCGAAUCACAAGCUAACAGUAACCAAAACAUAAUGCAGAAGUAACCAAAUAGUUAUAUGAUAGUAAUAAUAACAAAAUUUAAAUUAGCACACCUUUAAAAAAAUUUAGGUUGAAAAUAUCUUCUGGCUAUGAACUUGAGCUUCUGUCUUAACUACAUGGACAGCAAAAUCAGAAUCCAACUACACAAACCCAACAAAUUUCUUCAAGUCCUUAAUAGAAUCACCCUCUGUGAUUCUUUUUCUCUUUCCAUCCUUCUUCCUUGUAUUAACCAUUAUAUACAAAACAUAAAAACAACACAAACCCAAACAAUCAAUACUUCAUUCUGUUAUAAACAUAGCGUAUAUAUAUGAUCAUAUUGACAAUUAAUUAGUAGAAUGAGAAAAUUAACAAAAAUUAGAAGCAGACCUUAGAGAGAGAAACCAGAAUCCUUUCACCUGUGAGAGAGUUGGAGAGAGAAAGUCACGUAUUCGACUGUGUAAUUUGUUGAUGGAAAUUCAUCAGUUGUAACUUGGAGCACUUUAGAUGAAAUAGAAACGGUGUAUAAACUUGUAAUUGUUUGGAUAUGGGAAGAAGACUCGUGUGAUUAAGGACAACCGAGUGGAACAGAGCAUCUCAGAUCUGGAUAGAAAAAUAGAUGGGCGGUUAUUAAGCGUUUCAAAAAAAAAAAAACCAACCCAAUUAUAAGAUAGACACUAAUUUGCCAUGUCAGCCCACUAAUAUUAAUCCCUUAAAUUAAGGACUUUUAAUUGUAUUAGUAUUGUAAAUAAAAAUGAUGAAGUGUAAUAUUUUUGUAAUUAUUUUUUAGGUGUAUCAUUAUUGUAAUUAUUUUUAAAAAUGUACUAAUAUAUGUAAUUCAUCCUUAAAAAUAUUAUUAUUAUUUACUCUAACCAUUGGGCCGGCUGGGUAAACCAAGAAAAUAUUUUAGACCUGUCAAUUAUUAUUAUUUACGUAUUCUUUUAUAUAUUUUAUUAUUAUUAAUAAUCGUUUUACUUUACCUCUUUUAAUCCACUGCUCAACGGAAACAAUCACUAUCACAACUCCAAUACUAUUUUAAAUGUACUCUUUUUACUUUACUUCACUUCGUUUGAUGGCUUUCAAUUUUCUAUCAACUUGCAAAAAAAAAUCUAUCAAAACGACGUCGUUUUGAUACAUAGAAGAACAAAAAGAGUUGUGAGCCAUUAAAUCUCUUUUCGUUGUCUAACUCCACAACAAAACCCUCAUAAGAUCCUCACAGAGAAAUCGUCAUAAAGGAUCCGAAUCCCAUUAUGCAUUAAUCAUUAUGAAUUGGAGUGGAGUAUUGGGGUGGGGGAGUUGCAUGUACCAAAAAAAAACCUUGGACGUGUAUACCUUCCCUUCAGAGUUGAAUAGGUGUACCUAGUAAAUGGAGUACUUAGUUGUAUGAUGAUUGCUUUGUUAUUUCAUCAAAGGGUUUGUAGAGGAUGCUGCAGCUCCAAGGAAAACAAACGAGUAGUAGUAAAAGAGAAAAACACAGUUUUGAAUGAAGAGAGUGGAUCGGAUCGGAUCAGAUCAGUGUUUUUAAUAGACUGCAACCAUACAUACAUACAUUCGGUUAAUUACAAAACCACCCUAUCCAAUGCCCAUGGGUACGAACAAGUAGAAGUGCUACACCAAAAAAUAAGAUAGCAUCAUCAUCAUCUCUACAUAUUCUUUUUGCAAGUAAGAUGGCGGCGGCUACCUCCCUACAUUCCAUUAAAGAACUACCCAAACUGUUUGUUUACAAAAUCAACAUUACAGUAAAACCAAUAUGAACAUUUAACACCUAAAAGCCAAAUUUGUGACUUGCCAAUCGAAUAUUCAAGCCAUGUGAUGACAUCAACUCUUCAUUCUACUCGGAGCCAGGCAAACUUCCUAUACAUGUUGACCACGCAUCUUCUCGUGCAUAUCCAAAAUAACUUCCCGCAACUCGGGAAAAACGGAUACGAGUACGAGUUCAAGUAUUCCGUAUGUGAGUUGCUUCAAACAGACUGUGGACUGCAUAUACACACUCACAGACUUUAAGCUAUUGUUGGUCCCAGAUAAAGUGCCAUCAAAUGAAACAGAAAAUAAUUAUUCAGCUUACGAUAAGACUUUUACCUGGAGGANNNNNNNNNNNNNNNNNNNNNNNNNNNNNNNNNNNNNNNNNNNNNNNNNNNNNNNNNNNNNNNNNNNNNNNNNNNNNNNNNNNNNNNNNNNNNNNNNNNNAGAAAACAAAUUAACGGCACCCAAUGUUAAGUUUUGCAGACGUUCUGAUACACGGUCAAUCAUAACUAGGUUUGAUUUGUUAACACGGGGCAUCAAUAUGGCUAAGAAUUUUUAUAAUAUUGUCAAUUAACAAAUAAAUAUCAAGAUAAAAGUUAAGAUAUCCUACUUAUUCUCCCCGUCAUACAAUAUCCACAUAUAUAGCAAAAUAAAUCUCUGUUGUUCUAUUCUUCUACCAGACUUUAGAUAUUACUCCCUCAAUUCCACAAAAAAGUCUCAUUUGACUUUUUUUCCUAGUCAAAUUUUAAAAUCCUAAAAUUCAAAAUUGAGAUAAAUUUAUUUGAGUUUGAUUAAUGCUAUAGUUAAUAUUUUAAACUACUUAAGAAAGUACUACCAAGUACAAAAUUGCUAUUUCGAAAAUUAAUUUACUUCACGUCACCACUCUAAUUUUAGGAUUUUGCAAAUUAACUAUGAUCAAACUCAAGCUGGACUCUUUUUGUGGAACGGAAGGAGAAACUCUUAUAUGGUAAUAUUAGCAGAAAGCCUUUUCUGCAAUUUAUAAAAGCAAUUAUUACAAUACAGACAGAUACUUAGACCUACACUAGUAGUGGCAGACUGAUUUUUAUCGACAUAACAUUCACCCCAGCCAUCACAUACUAAUGUAGUGAACGUCCUUCAAAUGACUUAGACCUAUACUUAGUAGUGGCAGACUGAUUGUUACCAACAGAACAUUCACCCCAGCCAACACAUACUAAAGUAGUGAACAUCCUCUGAAUGACCUGGCUGCAGAUGUAUUAACAUUAACAAUUUGAAGACGAGAUAAAUAAACAAAACACAACUUCCUGGUAAACGAAGGAAUUUCAAAUAAAUGGUCCACAAAGAAGACUAAAAUAGUAAGAUGCAUAGACACUCGCAAGUGAUGUUUAGAGGUGAAAUGCAAGUCACUUCCAGUGAACAUCAAACCAAUAAAUAGAGAAAGGGAUAACUAGUUCUCACUUAAGAUCAUUUUCUUGACAUCACUAGCUCUCCGAGCAGCCUCAAGCUGCUGCUCAAAUGACCCCGGUUUAGAGACCUUGCUGCUGGCUGAAUGGCUUGAACUUUGUGAAGAUCUCUCAUUUGGUUCACAAUCAUCCAUUUCACUUUUAAUAUUUAAUUUCAAGAAGAAGGUACCAUCAGGCCAAAGCACCUAAAAUAGAAAUCCAUCAUUAGAACAAAGAAUACCUGAGAUUAAUGUUCUUUACUUUUUCUAUCGACGCCCUAUUUUCAAAGAAAUGGAUUUUUGGUGUAACAGACUAAGAGUUAUAAAAAUUAAAAUAUACACAGGUAAUUACUGAUUAGGAAAUUAAACAAAUUGGAGACCAUUGCUUUCUUACAUUAAAUAACUAUAUAAUAAGAAGGAACAGCUAAGUUCUCCAUAUAAAUAGAUUUUUUCAUAUAUAAGUAAGCAUUAUCUGGUUAUGCUCCAGUGAUGCAUCAAAAUUAAAUAAACUUAACUCAAUGAAGCUAAUUUCUCAACUUAACUCAACGAAGCUAAUUUCUCAACUAUUGGAGUCGCAUGAAUCUUGUUUCACCAUUCCAUUCAAUUUGGGGCAACUACUUUAGUUACACCAAUUUCCACUACAUCUUUCCUUACUAUCGAUUAGCAUUAAUACUGGUACAUUCCUUCUCCUACCAUUACUUAAAAAUUGUUGAAUUAAUCUUCCAUACUACUCUUGACCGGUGUUUUUCUCAUUUUACUCCUAUUGGUGCAACUUUAACUGUUUAUGACUUCAAAUACUUAACUUCUUAAUGUUAUUACUUUCACUCGAUGGAGAUGUUGGCCUUUGGAAUGAAGCUGAAUGUAUUGCCAAACAAUUAUCUGUCUUUCGCCAAUAGUUGUCAAAAUCUUAUGAUACUCGAUACGUAUCGUACGAUAGAUAGUUCGAUACAAUAAUCGCAGGAUGAAUAAAAAAUGACACCGUAUCCUACAAUUCAGUUACAAUUCUUACGAAACAAUACAAUACACGAUACUUUUUAAAGUUAACAACCGACUUGAAUUUUUUUUUAUGUAGAACCAAAAGAGUAAAAACAAAGCUUUAAUCCUUCUACCAUUUCAAAUGAAGAGGCUUUUUAGUAUAAACAUAUUCUAUAUUGUCUGACGAGCCUUUAAUCACUUUUUAGAGAUUUAUAUCUUCUUCAGAAUGUCACUUUAUUUUUCUCACAUCAGUUUUGUUAAUUUAAAUUAUUCUCUUUUGUUUUAUAGAUAAAAGGUGAAUCUGAAUUUUACGUUUUCUCUUGUUACUCUAUAAAUAUUACUAAAAUAAUAUCUAACAAAUCAAUUUAGAGUUUUGGCUACUAUCUAACUUAAAAAUUUUAUUUUUAGUCUAUAAUAAUAUUUACUUUACUACUUUUAUAUAUAGUCAAGCUAAUAUGCUUGAUUGUCCAAUAAUUAUGUGUUUUAUAUGUUUAAAUAUUACCACAUUUAUCAUUUCAUUUCCGUAUCGUACGAUACGAUUCACAAUACGAUACAUGAAACACGAUAUGGGGGUAUUCGAUACACGAUACGAUUCACAAUUUGACAACUAUGUUUUGCCCCACUCAUUUCGUAAUCAUCAAGCCUCUGAACAUCUGUCAUUGAGCAUAACCCAAGGUCAACCUCUCUAAGAAAUAAGUUGAGAAUAUUACUGAAUAUUAAUUAAGAAGCUGAGGCAGUAAGCUAAAUUUUGAAUGGCACUCUGUGACCGACAAACAAGGCAUAUGACCAACAAAUAGAUGUGCUAAUGUUAAAAGAAUAUUACCAUUCAGUCACCUACUCAAAUAUUUGAUGCCACUACAGAAUUCUGAAUCUGUAUAUCAGUGCUAUCAAAAUCUGAAUAAAGCUACAGAUGUUGAUAUAAUUAUAAAGCUUUGGACCCUUACUAGGCUCUGGCAGACCCCAUAAACGGUUCUAUGUCUAAGGCUGAGGCAGGGCUCAGCUUAAAUCGACUGGCACUUCCAAAACUAUGUGGAGUUUCUAUCUAAAGGAACCACACUGCCUCUAGUUCUAUUUAGCAGGUAUGGUGGUCCAGCUGACUUUAUAUUGUGCACUAAAAAAUACUACAAACACCGUAACUCAAAUUGUAGUGCUUCCAAUUGAAAAAUAGAAAAUCAGAAACAUAAUUACAAUGUUCUAAAAGGGGCUAGGCGGGAGGCGGGCGGCCAGGGGGACCUAGCGCCUGGGGGGCCUAGGCGGAAUUUUUUAUUUUAAGACAAUUUUAAUAUUUUAUCUUACAUUAAUCUAACAAAACAAUAAUAUAAAGCAAAAUAAUCUAUAAUAAAGAUAAUAAUUAAAUUAUAGAAUUAGUAGUAAUUGCACUUACGUAGUAAGAUAUAUAUCCAUUGCUUGAAAUAAUUAAAUUAUAGAAUUAGUGUUACUAGUAAGUAGUAACUAGUAAGAAGUAUCUUGAUAUCUUCAUAUAUAUAAUUAUAUACAUACUUCUUCUCUCUCAAAAAUUUAAAUAAAUGUUAUUUUUAAAAAUUAGUGUGAAGUUUAUUGAAUGAGACAUUUGAUACUAUUAAUUAUGAAAUUAUUUUAAUUUGUGUAAUUUUCAAAAUUGAGGACUUAAAGAAAAUGACAAAUACCAUAUACUAAGUAUGACUAACAUAUCUUUGACGUAUUAGUUUUAUUCAUAAACAAAAUUGGUAUUAAAUAAUAAAAUUUAAAAUUUUAAUAAUUCAAUUCAAUAUUAAAACUUAAGAAACUAAACAUAAAUUUAAGAAUUAUAUUGAAUUAAACUAAAUAUUACAAAUGUAUCAUCAUUUAUAGAAUUUCAAGUUGGUACAAGUUCAAAAAAUUACAACUAUAAUAAAAUUAUCCAUUUUGACUUGAUCUUGUUCACUUCUUGUUGUGAUUUGAUAUGCUACAACUUUUGCAUUAAGAAUAUGGUAAAUAAAAAUAAAUAUAUCAAGAUUUGGUUUUGGUAGUAAUUUAAAAAAAAAAAAAACUCCACCUAGGCCCCGUCUUUCCCGCCUAGCCUGCCUUCCCGCCUAGCCCGCUUUUUUCACCGAUUUGGCCUUAGGCACAGCGCCAGGCCCCCGCCUAGAACCUAGGCGCCGCCUAGGCUGAUUUUUAGAAUAGAGCAUAAUUAAUAUUAAACUUAUAAGUUUCCAGAUGAACAAUUUUGGUAAAAUGAUUUGCAAGUAAAAUUGCAGGUUUUCAAUUGAACUAUUCAGAAAAAUUUAGAAAUAUUUAAAAUGGCUUGAUACUUGCAUCAUGGAUCCAGCGAAUUCCUUGAGCAAUAAUAUCAUCUCUCCGGAGCCAAUGAAUUUGCCUUAAGAGCCAGUCAUCAAUAGCAUCUUCCAUCAUUAACUGUAAUAUUUGCUUUGAUAUCCAAAAGACCUGUCUUCUGCACCAAUAAAAAACAAGCAAUUUGAGCCAAAUGAAAAUAAGUUAUUUUUCCUUUAUUGAUAAGUUCAAUUAUGUUUGACAGGUAAAAAUGAAAAUCAGAAAACAACAAGAUGCAUGCCAUAUAACUUUCAUGCAGUUCCAUCGUUUUCUUUAUAGAAAAAACAAAUUUAAAGAGAGAGAGAGAAGAAGUUGUGCAGUUAGAAGGGGCCUAAAAUAUUUAUCUCAAAACAAGAAAACAGUAAAUACUAAAUUCUCCUUUCUUAGAUGUGAUGCAAUAUUACCAGGGAUUCAUAAGAUUUAAGGUGAAAAGGAUUAUGAGGACUCCCAAAACAAAACAUAUGACCACAACAAGCAAAAGAAAACAUCAAUAAACUCUAUGUAUUAGUGUAACCAAUGUUAGUGUAAGUACUGAGAUUGUAGGACAUGAAGGAAGAAAAGAAAGAUUAAGAUAAAUUCUGUGUGUGUGUCAAUCACUCACAGAACAAACACCACAUAUGCACGCAGAAACAAAUAGUUGCUAUGUUACAUCUCCAAAUACAUAACUCCUAGAUGCCCUUUUUAUGGUAUCCUCAUAUGUUGAAUCAACUGUAUACUCUACUGAAAAAUGCAUACCAUUCUCUCUCUCUCUCUCUCUCUCUCCCUCUCUCUCUCUUUCACACACACACACACACACACACACACACGACACAACAGAAAACUAGUAAGCCAUGUUCAGAUCCAAAACAAUCUCUUGGAUGUCUCCGACUCAAACUGGUAUCCUCAAACACUGUCAAAAUAUAUUAUACUGGAAAAAUAUAAACAUACCUACUCAAAUGGAUUUGUUAUAUCACAUGCCCAAAAUCAAAACUGUUGUAUAUAAUAACAGAAAGCAUCCUAUAACUACAGGAAUAUGAUAGUGCAAUAUUACAAGUUUGGAAUAUCAUGAUGGCAAGGAAAAAACAACACACACUGCAUAAAUAUGAAAAUUAGCUCACCUGAGCCAGCCUCUUCUUUUUAGCUGGAAGAUGUUAUCUACUAAAUUCAACACAGGUACACUUAAAUUUGGUGGCAUCCACUGCAAGGGAAAUUAACAGUCGUAGAAAAAAAUAAGCAUUCAAGAAAGACUUAGAUAUAACAUAACAUAUGGGUUUCAAACAUACUCUUUAAUCAGGACGUGGAUGAUAAUUCUAAACCUAUGAACCUAUUGUAAAAAGACAAACUGAGUUAUCCUAGUGAAGUAAGGGCCAUAAUUGCAAAUUGGACUCACACUCUUAAUUAAAUCUACACAAAUUUGAGUAGCGUCUCCACUUCAUUCUUAUUAUCUAUCUAAAUCUCUUAACAUGAUUGUCAUCAAUUUCUUCAAUACUUAACGUUUAGCCACAAAAAUGUCUGAUUUUGUUCGUAAGGCAUAAAAUCUUUUCCCUUAACAUCCUUCCAUGUCAUUUAAGAAGAAACCUUGAUCCUCUAGAGAUUGUGAACCAAAUCAAUGUAAAAUUGUGUCGUUAUAGAAUGAUACAAAAUAUGUUAUAAAACAAUGAUAGGUGGAAAAUUCAUGUCACGAUAUAUUUAUCAACAGUGUUUUACGAUCAGCAGAAAUUGUUCAACGACUAGAACCAGAGCUUAGAAUCUAAAGACAUAAAUAAGAAAUCAGUGUACGGAGUUAGUUGAAGACAUUCUAAUAAAUUCAGCCCUACUUGAUAAUCAAGCACAAAAUUUGUAGGCAGCUAGUAGAAGUAUCUAUGUAGAACCUAUAAUCCCCCAUCACAGUCCAUUCCCAUUUCCCCCACCAUAACACCCCACCUUGAAACUUUAAGAAAAGAUACCAUUCAACUAAAUAGGGUCACACAAAAAAGCAAGCAUAACCAGGAUUCAGGAGUCAAACAGAAACGAAAUGCACUCGACUGAAUGCACAAUACCUCUGGUGGUACUCCAGUUGGAUCUUCCAGACGAUCAGAAGUUAAUGGAAAGUUUACCCCCGAAAAACCAUGAAUGCUGAUUGAUUCAGAUUGCACCCUGGAUUUAGGAUUUUCCUCAGAAUCUAAGCAUCUAAACUCUUCGUUGCGUUUAACCACCCUUGGUGGAAAUUCCUUCGAAUUCAAUUCGUUGUCUGAGUGCCACCCAUGAGCUUGUGCAACAGAUUCUGUUUCCUCAGUGCCACCUCUAUCACCUUCCUCAUUAUCAGAAAAACUAUUAGCUGAAUUUCCGGUAUGUUGUCUUAAAAUCAGUUUAUUUAUCUCAUCUUCUUUCCAGGAUAAGUUCUUGCCAGAAAUUGAAGAAGCUGGUUCAUAGGCUGAGGAAGAUGGGCCAACAACUUUCCGCAUCAAGCCAUCUGAAACUCCUUUGAACUGGCGUACAAUGUCAUCCACAGCAUCAUCCACAUUGACUGUUUGAUGAAAACCAAAAAAUUGACAGUGCUAACAGUAAGUGAAUAUAUUUUAAGCCAGUCAUAAAAUCACAAUUGAUCAGCAAGAUAAACGACUUAAACCGGAAGGCAAACAGUUUAGCACCAUAAAUAGAUGUUACAAGAUUACUGCCGGAGCUUAGUGACCAUAAGCAUUUGAGUCAUCAAAACUUUCUCACAGUAUUAACUCUCCUAAACUUAUUCAUAAGAGUUUAUUUUGGUAAAGGGCACAGAAUGCCUAUGCAAAUAAGAAGACAUCACUCAUAAUGGAUAAUUUAUGCAUAUAGACAUCAUAGUGUCUUUCUGAUUCAAUCCAGGAUCCAUUCAGGACUUCCUAGAUGCAGCAGAAAAGUCUUCAAAUCAAAGCCCAAAUAACAAAUACAUUAACAAGGAAUAAUACCAUACAAAUGUCAUAAUCAACAGACACCUUCUAACUGAUGAGAAUAUUAUGAGGAUAAUCACUGCUCUCUGUAUAUCCCUGAGCGUAACAUACACAACAUACUUACAAAAGAAUACAUACACCAGAACUCAACAUUAUCAACUAAAGUCCUAACUCUAGGAAGCAGCCAAUGACAAAAGGCAUAAUCAUUUUAUUUAGUGCACCACCUGGACACCAGGGAAAACAACCACCAAACUCAAGAACCUCCAAGUGAAUUUACUUAAUAUUUGAUUUUCUCUAAGAAAAUUCUUAAUAUGAACACAAUUUACGGCUUUACGUACAGUUGAUGCAUUUAUUGACGCAUCAAAAGCUUAUGUUUUACGUGAAGCAACAACGUAAAAACUGCCACCUGGAUUCUAAUUCUAACCACUAUUGAAGGUAAUGGCUUGGAGCAAUUCAUUUAAUUCUGUUAACUAAUAGAAUUUUGAUACUUAUUUUCUAGACUUGGGAGGAUGGCAGUUUCUUGUUGAGUGAUUUUUAUUCAUUAAUUACAAAAUGUAUUUCAAAACUAAACGGAUUUGUAAUAAAAUAUAAUUCAUAAUUAGUAAAUAUACCAAUCUUAUGAAUAAUAUUCUUCCAUUUCAAACGAGUUCUUAGAUUUGAAGUUUUAAUGUGAUGCUAAAUAACUUUAUUGGCUUAAUGUUUUAUGUUUUUGUUUUUUUAAUUAGAAUUAGAUACUUCGAACAAGCAUUUCAAUCACAAUCUUAUGGAAAAUAAAAUGGUUAUGAUAAAGUACAUCAUAGUUUUAGAAAUGAUGUGCUUCGAGGUCGAUCCAACAAAUCUUCUCAUGAAUAUCUAUUUUGCCAAAUCAGAUUAUCUGCCCCUUUAAGAAAAUUAUUAAACCCUCCUUGGAGGUACAAAAUCGAUGAUCAAACUUUACCACGAUUGCAACUUAGUAAUAAUCAACAAAUGGGAGUGUAAAACCUCAAUAAACUUUUUCGCUAAGUAAAUUUAAAGUUGAUAAAAUGGAAAAGUUUCAAUCAACUAACAAACAAAUUUAAUAAGUUUGGACGCAAGAGAAAAAGUCACAUACCUGCCAGGGUCCUCAUCACAGAAGGCGAUUUUCCAAAAGAAUAAUUCUGUAUAAAUAAAAAACAAGUAUUAGUUCAACUUAAAGGAGAUUUAUCAUACAAAAUUAUAACAAGAAGAAGAAGAAUGAUCACCUUUGAAGAAACACUCAAAAAAUCCCACACUUCAUGUUGCUCAGCUACAUUAGCUAUUGACAAGAGAUCCUAGAAGAGAAUUUAUACUCAAACAGUUAAAAAAAAUUUAUCCUUUUUAAAGCUACACAGAGUAUGGAGAGAGUCAUACUUGUAAAUACUUGUCAAGCUGAAUGCAACGUUGAUGAACAAAAGCGUCCUCUGUGCUCGAAGAGAAUAUUCUUUUGGGAGGCAAAUGUAAUGUAUAAUUAGGAAUGUCCUUAAGAUGACGAUGCAAUCUCUCAAAAUUCCUGUAUCUGCUGACAAAAUGUAAAAAAUAAAUUAAAACAAAUCCAAGAUACAGACAGAGAAAUGCUCACUUAAAUCUCCACUAACUUUCAUAGUAAGAUGAGAAUCACAACAGUCAUUUGUUUCUUUUUUAAAGACAAAAACAAUCCAACCAGCAUUAACCAUUACACCAAUAAUUUAGAAGCCUGUACAAUUGAUAACCUAGUAACUAUUUUGUCACUAGAGGUAAAAAGCAGAGCAAGACCUUCUUCUCACAAAACAAGUGCUGCUAUCGGCAUCUGUUACUGCUAUCGAAUAGACUGCAAAAGAUUUUGACCCAAGUUUCUCAAAAUAUGCUCCUAUAACCUGUAGUAAAGAAUAAGGUAGCAUCAGGACCAUUCACAUAUGGCAUUGAAGAAUUAUAGACAAGCCGAUUAUAAAUGAUCAUCAAUUAUACAGAGUAUCAAAAGAAUCUGCUCUGACUAAUGUUCUGCGUUAUACAUACAGUCCAUAUCCCAGAAUCAUACAACCAUGAGCAUUUACAGGAAGUAAGGGAAGAAAAAUAAUCGCACCUGGCACUUGAGCUUGGGAACAUGUUGUCCCUCAUUGGAUAACACCAUAUCAGAAGAACUCUUAACACUGGUCACUUGAUUAUGACCACCUAGAUUUGCACUGUAGAACUCGGAUAUAAUUGGUCCACCACUUUGGCUUGUAAAAGCAGUUUCCAUAUUUGGUUGAAUAAUCAAAUCAGGAGUGCUAUUUGAUCUUUUCAGCUUAACUUUAUUUCCACUAGCACUAAGAGAAGUGGUAUCCUCAAAUUCAUAGCCUCCCUUAAAAGAUGCUACCGUGUUCAGAUCCUGCGAAAAAUGCAAUGCAUUAUUGAUCUGAUCAAUUAGUUGAGAAUCUGGAGGAGGCCUUGGUGGUGUUUGAGCUAAAGCUUUAUAUUCUGUUCUUGUAGAAGCUUCUAAUAUUUCCUUCACUGUGUCUUUGGUAUGCAAGCCACUAUUUAUUCCUGAACCCUUUGCCGCAGGAGCCUGAACUCCAGUAGUAGCAUGUUUCUGAGCCUUCUUUUUGUAAUUUCUUCCUUUGGCCCACAUGUUCUCAAGAUUUUCAGGCAUAAGAACUUCUGUUCUUCUCUGGGUUGCUGCCUCAAGGAUUCGAGCCCAUUCAGCAGAUCGAUGCUGCAGAGCCUCGUCGUGACCUGUGUUAUAAAAGGAUUUUCCUGAAGCAUCCAAUGAUAAUUCUCUUACAUUGUCAUAGGUAGACAAUCUCAAAUCAGUCCCUUGAUUGUGAGAAGAUGCAUUUUUCCUCGGAGCAGCCUCACCGUAUUGUUGAUGGUCUGUAGAAACAACAUGAUCACGCUUAUGACCAUCUGCAUAAGUCGAGUGAUCGUCACCUGCCUGUUUAACACCCUCAUCUUUAGUAGCAAGAAAAAUAUAUUCAAUCAGCUCAUUGAUAUACCUGUAAACCAAAGAAUUUGUUAAUGCUCAAUUCUUGCAAUGGAAAAGAGAUACGUACAAGUUACAACUGAUAAAUAGAUAUAUACAAGUUUAAAUAUUUAUGAAUUCCAUGCAUGUGGUCAUCAAUAGAAGUGAAAUCAAAAGAAGGCAAGUAACAUGGGGAAGCAUGAGAGAGCUUUUUCCAACAAUCUAAAUAUAGAGAUAAUAAGAACAAUAUAAAAAUCCAUGUUAUGUACCAUGACAGUGUGAAUAGAAAGUACUUGAACAAAAAAAUAUAUGUAUAUGCAUUUAGAUUACAAUGCCCACAAUCUUAUUGCAAAACAAGAACAAGUUUUUCAAACAAUGUCUGCUGAAUUACUGUUUUGAAGCAGAAGAGUGUUAUAACUACGGUUCAAAGAUUACUGACCCCAUGGCUGGUACCAAAAUAUCAAACACCAUUACACAUUAAAACCUGACUGAGUAAAUUUGCAAAGAUUAAUGAGCUGUAUAUUACAGCUGUAGAAUUGCACUAUAAAGUGAACUGACUUGCAAACAUCCCUUUGGUAAAGCGUAAGCAUUAUCUAGCAAAGAUCUUUCUAAUUAACCCAAUAUUAAGUGCAUAACCUUUUACUUAUCAAACAAAUAUAUUAAGUGUUCAAAAACCUUACUACUUCCCUAUUUAAGUGCAGUACCAGAAAAAGUCCAGCUAUCACACUAAAUAUAAAUCCACUCAAAAAAGUGAGUCUGAGUUCUAAUUCAUGAAGACCUGAAUUAUGACUAAGCACUAGCAAGAUUCAUAGAAGGUUGUAUUAUUGAAAUAAAACUUGAAUUUAUCUUGAAAUGCUCAAUCAAAAGCUACUAAUGCAACACAGCAAUAGAACAAAUGAAUUUAUUCAACACCUCACAUGAUUAAUUAAUAGCAAAGAAAUUUAUGAGAACAUAAUGACAGAAACCCGACAUAUUUUUGUCAUACAAGGAAAGCUUUAAGGCUAUGUCUGCCUAAUACCAAUUAAAAUGGAAUCCUCAAGAGUUUGACUGAAGGGAGAUACUUGCAUAGUAAGUACAUAAUAAGAAAUCUGUAGGUCUCUGGAAAUGUCCAUAUAUCUAAGUAUUACGCUUACCAUCUUCCCUACAUUACCAAAUAUCUUGAAAAUAAUAAAAAACUGAAAAGAAAUAAGUUAUUACAAAUUAGGAAUUGGCUGAUUUUGACAACUCACCCAGGGCUAGCCAAAUUUAUAACAGGUUGCAUCACCAAACAAGUUAAAAGCUCUCGGGCAAUGCACCGGACGAGUGGGCAAUGGGAUUCCCGUGGUCUAAGUGCUACAGCUAAGACUCCGCCCAUAAGUCGUUGAAGAACCUACAAAAACAUAUAAAGUGUUAAAUGGUGGUAUACAAUUGAAAUACAUGAGAAAAAUAGUUUGAAUCAGAACACACCACUCACACCUUGUACUCACACUCUGGAGAUAUCAAUGCAGGGUGAAGCUCCUUAGAAGCCAUGAGAUGGUGCUUCAACCUUUCAUCCCUUUCCUCAGACGACAAUGUUCCCAUAACAUCCACACCAAUAGCAGCUUGGUUUCUUCUGAAAAGAUCCAGAUGAUCCCCUAUUAGGUCUACAACAUCCCUGAAACAUUAACAAAAUACAGGGUUUGAACUCUCAAAAACACAACAAUGCACAACCUUGGAAAAGAAAUUGAGAGAAAACCUUAAGUAAACAACCUUGUCAACAAUUCAACCAAGUUUAUCUCUUUGACUCUUCCAGACACUUCGGCAAGAACAUCCAUGAUUAUUGCAUGUAUCAGCUCAGGGGCCUCCGUAUCAGGCGUAAUAUCUGAAUACCAUAAAUCUUUAACAAAAUCUUGCAAAAGUUUGUUAAUAAAAUCCUCCAUUGCAGCCUCUAAUAUGGGAGAAUCUAUUUUUCUCUUCCAUUUAGGAGGGGGUGGCAAAGUAGAAAGGCGAGAAUCAUUAACAGAUAACUGCUUCUUUUCUAAGUGGGAUAGAUAUGUUUGUCGACAGAUAUUCCGAGCCUUCCAGUGAAACUCUACCUCAUUAAACAAAAUUCUCAACCCACAAACCAAGAGAACUGAUAUGGGAAUAUUCAUCCACAUUGAUUUACUUGUAUCUGCGUGAACAGUAAAAAAAUUAGGGAGGGGAGAGCGAGAGAGGGGAGAUAUAAUAUUAGAUAAGCCAUACAUUUUAUAGGUAAAGAAACUAGAGACAUAACCCCAAACUUAAUUGUCCAAAUACAAAAAAGAAACCACCUUCAUUUCCAGUUGGAGGAUCAUCACCUACAUCUUGUCAUAAAGACAGGACGAACAAGAUUUUUCUGUGUCUUAAAUAACAUUGCCACUGAAUUAAAGCGAGUUUCAUACAAUUUUCCACCUUGUUAAGCUAAAAUCUGUCGGGAUAUAUAUAAUACAUUUUUGUUUUAUAUACUUUACUUUUGCUCUUUCUUAGAAGCCUGUAGGGAAACAGAGUACUGCAACUAGCAACUAUUAAUGAUACUUGUAUAAUUAAGUUGGUAAAAGAAAAAUUCACAAGACAAACACAAUGUCGCAACAAAAACAAAUUUCAGUCACAUGAAACCCUAACUAAAUUCAGAACUAAAAUGGUUUCGCAUAACAAAUUAGAAAUCGAUAAUUACUCGAUUCUGACAACAGCUAAUUAAUUAUCUCGUCGUGGGGACAGAAACAGCAUAUUUUUGGAGCUCAAAGUAAAAACAAAAUCGAACCCCAAAAAAAACCUUAAACAACGGAGGAACUUACUUGUUAAUAAGUAAGAGAGAGCGAAUAUACAUAGAGCCCACCAUACAGUUCGAAGCUUUGCUUCUUCGAUCAGAUCUUGCAAAGUAUCCAUGGGCUUCAUUGAUUCCAAAUCCCUAGAAAUCUCAAACAAAACACAACACUUUGAAUUGAAAGAUGUACUCCAGGUAACGAAUCAAAGUCUUCGCUAAUUUAUCCUUGAAUAUCGAGAUCAUAUGAUCAAUUCGCAUGAAUAAUAACUGAAUUUUGUAAGAAAAAAAUUGGGGAGAAAUAUUAUAAUAAUUGAGCUGGAUAGAAGUGAAUUGCUAGUUUUUUGAUUUUUGAUUCCCACAACUUUUUGUUUAUUCCUGUUGACGGGUGGAGGAGGAGAGAGAAGAAAACGUGGGAAAGAAAGCGGAAAUCAUCGUUACAGGCUUGGCUUGGCUGCCUCGUUGUACUGUAGAAUUGUCGGAUUCAAGUUGACGGAUUUGCCAUCAGAUCAGUUCAUAUGUGAUGUCUUAAAUGGACAAUUCAUUUCUAAAUUAUUUAAUAAAUAUAUUACUUCCACAAAACAAAAGAGUUCCAUUUAUAAAUAAAUAAAUAAAUUUUGUUACAUAAAAGUUAUUAGGUCUUCAAAUUUCUCCUCAUAGCUAAAUUAUCAUGUCUUGCUAUUAUUAAUUAAUAACUCGAAAAGGUAUUGUAUUCUAUUGAGAGAAUUAUGUAAAAUUUAUUUUUUAUUUAAAAGAAUAUAUAUAUAUUUGCAUCUGCCCCCAUACAAACAUACAACUUAUUUCAAAUGUUUUGGGCUAAACAUUUUAUUAAAUAACAUGUACAUGUAAGUGUGGAUUUGAGUUAAAUGAAGGAGUGGAUAUCGGAGAGAUUUAUAUUAAUGGAUGAUUACAAAUACCAUGAUUACCAGAGUUUUUUAAAAUUCAUGUCAAUAAAAAAAACCAAUUUGUACAAUGUUAAAAUAAUAUAGUAUGUGUUUCUCAUGCAAUUUGGACAAAAUUAAAUUAGUAGUUUUACUUCUCAAAUGAAGUGUAAAUGAAUCUCACACGUGAGAGAAACCUUCUAUAUUAAAAGGUUUAUUUGGCAAAAACCAACAUUUAUCAUAUAAACAAUUCAAAAACUUUCAUAACCUUGAUCAAAAGUGUUAAAUAUAUAUAUAUAUAUAUAUGAGAAGGAAGAGGAAGAUAUAUUUGUCUAAACAGAUCAAGGGCAAGAGGAAAAAAAAAUAGGGUGACAUGACAGGGUUACACGGCCGAUGUUGAAACACCAAACAAAAAUAAGUUGAAACACCAAACAAAAAUAAGCUAAAAGAAAAUACUAUAACCCAAUCUACCAUAAGUUUAUUCCACCUCAAUGCAGUACCUUUCUAUGCAGUACCUACCGGUCUACUUGUUACUGGAAAUAUUGGCCAGGAGGAAAUCCCUGACCUUGAUAUAAAGGUCUGGGGGGAGCAAGAGGGUCAUAAACACCGCUUCUGGGCGGUUCAGACCUUAAACUGUUCAUCCUAGAGUAGUUUAACUCAUCCAACCGAGGGGCAUAACGCUGCAUCGUGGAUGUGCUGUAAGAUGGAUCAGGUACAGAACCACCUAGAUUCCCGUAUGGAGUUGGAACCCUAGGAUUAUGGCCAUCUAAAUAGCUGCUUCUUUGACUUGGUAGAUCAUACAUAUAACCACGAUUUUCCACAAUUUCUCGCUGGUGGUAGCCCGAGAUCUGCUCUUCUGAAAACCUAUUUCUGUUUGUUGAACUUUGAUAGGGCUCCCCACUGACAGAUACAUACCUCCUGGCCGCCAUUUCAUCCUCCCAAGUCCCUGCAGCUCUAAACUGAUAUGAUCCAGAUAUGCUGCCAUCAAACUGCUGAUAAGUUUCAUUUCCAACACCUGCAAGUGAGGGAGUCUCAACAGCCUGGGAUUGGGAAGGCAGAAAACUUUUCUGGUAGUCCUCAGACAAUAUCUCACUUGAUCCUCUUCUCCCCUUACCUGUAUAUCCAGCUCCUAACUGAUGUAGUUCAGAUAUCCUGCCAUCAAAGGGCUGAUAACUUUCAUUUCCAACGCCUGUAAGUGCGGGAGUCUCAACAGGCAGGGAUUGGGAAGGCAGAAAACUUUUCUGGUAGUCCUCGGGCGAUAUCUCACUUGAUCCUCUUAACCGCUUACCUGUAUAUCCUCCAAACCAGUGCGAUUCAGAUACCCUGCCAAGAUAACUUCCAUUUCCAACGGCCGCCACAAAUGAGGGAGUCUCAACAGCCUGGGAUUGGGAAGGCAUAUAACUUUUCUGGUAGUCCACGGGCGACAUCUCUCUUGAUCCUCUUAACCGCUUACCUGUAUAUCCUGCUCCCAAGUGAUGUGGUUCAGAUACCCUUCCAUCAAAGUGCUGAUAACUUUCAUUUCCAACUCCUGUAAGUGAGGGAGUCUCAACAGCCUGGGAUUGGGAAGGCAGAAAACUUUUUCUUUUCUGGUUGUCCUCGGUCGAUAUCUCACUAGAUCCUCUUCUCUGCUUACCAUUAAAUGAGGGAGUCUCAACACCCUGGGAUUGGGAAGGCUGAGAACUUUUACUUUUCUGUUUGUCUUCCGGCAAUAUCUUACUUUUAAAUGACGGAGUCUCAACACCCUGGGAUUUGGAAGGUUGACAACUUUUGCUUUUCUGUUUGUAUUCCGGCAAUAUCUUACCUUUAAAUGAGGGAGUCUCAACACCCUGGGGUUUGGAAGGCUGAGAACUUUUGCUUUUCUGUUUGUCUUCCGGCAACAUCUUACCUUUAAAUGAGGGAGUCUCAACACCCUGGGAUUUGGAAGGCUGAGAUAUUUUGCUUUUCUGUUGGUCUUCCAGCAAUAUCUCACUUGAUCCUUUUCUCUGCUUUCCUUUACGACGAUUUCUUUUCUUUGGAUCCCCAUAAGAUCGAUUAUUGUCACCGUCAUUAUUCUCAGGUCUUUCUGAAACACCGUCAUUGUUCUCAGGUCUUUCUGAGCCACCAUUAUCAUGAGGCAACCCUUCUUUGUGACUCUCUACAACAGUUGUUGCUCUUUCUUGAAGUUGUAUAGGUUCUCCAUUUCGAAGAGUGUGACUAUCUAACAGCGUGGAAGAUUCAAGAUUAAGCUUAUUAUCCUCCACUGGAGAAACAGGGACGUUGAUUUCCUUUUGAUUAUCAACCAUAUGCGAUACUUCUCGACCCCUGUGUAAGUCACCAUGCUGUUGAGCAAUUGCCUUGUGUUUAGAAGUCCAAUCUUGAUGACUCCAAAAGGACAGAGGCGGUGGACUCAUGUUCCACUGAUCCAUUUGUUUGUCAUUUAUAUCCACAGAGCCAGGCAAAUAAAAGGACUGAAUGGGCAAAAGACACUAGAUUAAGCCAUGAAAACCAAGUAGCAUUCUCAUUGAUAUAAUCAAAACAUCAGUUGCAAGAAAACUACAUAAAACAUUUUGUUACCUUGCCAGCGAGUAAUUCAUUAUCCUCGAAAACCAAGUCAUAUGGAGGAUUCUUUUUAUCUAACCUGGUGCAGAGGAAACACAUGAGAGAAAGACAGACUGAAGAGAGAAGGAGAGUCAACAGAAGAGAGCAGAGCAGGGCAGCAAGCAUAUUACUACAUACCUUUCAGUCUCCUGCGGAACAAUAAGGACUAGGAGUUUUGGCUUGAACUCGAGGGCCUUGUUAAUAAACUUGUUUGCGAGGGAGGCCUUAACUCCGAAAGGUGGGUUUAGCCCCAUAAUCUACUCGGACAAAGAAAAAAUGAUGUACACCAGUAUUAAAUAGUGCUAGGAUUUAAAAGUUUGUCUAUUAAGCUGCCACGAAAGGUAAAACUGAAAUGAUUUAAGCGCCAUAUGAAUAAUAUUUUGUUAGUGUGGCAAGGCACCUGAAAACUAGAAAGUAUCUAUUGUUUCAUUGUGAAUUAGCUAAAGCUUUUUCUAAUUUGAUAGUUCACAGUUCACAUUCUUAUAAACCUGAUAGCAGAAAUCUUCAAAAUUGGAAGAAUUGGUUCGAGUUUUGGCAACUCCAGUCUGAUCAUACUUUGGCCGAAAAGAAAUGGUAAGUCUACACUCUAUUGCUAUAAUUUGAACUCUGUGUAGGCACCAGAAUAGGGUCAAUUGUCAAAGUACUAUGGAACAAUGGAUAUCUGGAAAGUAUUAUGCAUCAAUAUGAAUAGCUUAUAUGCAUUAUGAAAAUACCACAACUUAUCCUCAAUUUACAGAAUAUAAUAUAAUCCCAUAAGGGCGGAAGAAAUGGCAGUAACCUUGACUUUAUUUGAGGAACUCAAUGUCGAAGGAUCUGAUCCUUAUAAUUGGGGCCUUGAGGAAUCAUGUCCAAGUUUUACUGAUUUUUUAAAUCUUAUCCAGCUUUUAAACUUGGAUGAAGCUAGAAGAUGUAUCAGAACAGUUAUUUAAACUUCCUAGCAGGUAAGUUUAUUACUUUCAAGAUUACCAAGGCAUGUCGGGAUUAUGGUGAAGGACGCCCACCAAUUGGCUAAUAAGCAAAUAGGUUCAAUUUUGUAAUGAUACUUCGAGUAAGGCUUAAUAAAUUUCCCUCUAAAUAUAAAUAAAAAUUUGUCUAUUAAAUAAUCAUGAACUAUAUUUCUCACCAAUCGUGACCCUGGUGGCAAUUCAUUCGGUUGGACACUCAUCCAGUCCCUCUGUUCGAAGUUAAAAUCAUUCUGCAAAUACAAACCCAAAAGGAUUUAUCACUCAUAACAUCCAUAUGUGUGCGUUUACCUCAACUUGUAAAACAGCUAUUCUUACAAUUUCAAGACAGAAUAACUAUUACAAUUACCCUCAAAAAAGGAAAAGACAAUUAAUCAUAUAGAUUAUCCAAUCAUUCAACAUUGGUUUUGUGUUUUGAACAGCUCUACCAAAGAUGAGAGAGAUCAUACUACCAUGAGGACCAAUAAUAUCAAACAUACUACAAUUUUAAAAUGAGAAUACUUUCACCAUGCCUUGUGAAAAAAGUGGAAUUGGAACUCUAAUCAGUCUCUGAGUUCUACCAAACUAAACACGGCGAUUAUCAAAAAAUGUAGGAUCUGAAACUGUGUGAAGCGUGAACACAUUAAUUUUCUUAUAUACUAUAUAAUUCCUCUGCUCCACAGAAAGACUCCUAUUUCACUUCCUGACGUCAAUUUUAAAAAAAAAACUAAAAUUCAAAAUUUGAUAUGAAUUCAUACUCCCUCCGUUCAAAAUUAUAUGAUUUGACUUCUUAAAAGUAAAUUUGAAAAUGGAACCCCUCAACAGCUUGCAUUCUUUUAUGGGUCGGGAAUCUUAUGGGAAGCUGUUCGCAAGGCCAGCUUGAUUUCUUCACUAGAGAUCCCAUAUGGGGGAAUCCUAGGAGAUGUUUUCUUCUUUUAGGUUCUUUUUCAGCUACCUUUUCUUGGGUUUCCCUCAAAGCAACCCCUGAUGUGAAUUCGACAAGUCGCUCCCCUUCCUAUGACGACAGUGUUGAAAGGUGCAUAUCUAGGUCUUCUCAAUUGGAGCUAAAAAGACGGGAGCUAUAUAACUAGAUUCACUUGUGUUCCAACAGUGGGAAGGCAAGGCAAGUGCUACUCCUAACUAAUGUAUCAAAUUUAAAAUUGAUACGAUUCCAUUUAUUUUUCGUCAAUACAAUAAUGAGUAUCAUAAACUAUAUAGAAAGUACUACAAAUUAUGAGAUUUAUUGUUUUUAAAACUUAAACGAAUCCUAUCAAUUUGAUAUUUGAAAAAAUGUGUCGAAUUAACUUUUAGAAAGUCGAUAUUGAUCUUAUAUUUAAAAUGGAGGAAGUAUAAAAUUUUAGUUAAUAUAAUCAGAAUUAUUGUAAACUUUAUGUUAGUUAAUAAUGGCUUAAUGCAAUCAUAAUUAUUGCAAACCAUCUAAAUGUAUAACUAGUUAUAGGAAUUAUUGUUUUCAAAACUCAUACGAAUCAUAUUAUUUUUCAAAAAAAGACUGUUUUUGUAGAACGAAACGGAGUAUUAAUUUCAUUUAAAAUAGAUAUAUUAGUACAUAUAAUAGUGGAAUAUACACAUUCUAAAUUAGCUAAGCUAUAUCAAUGACGGAAAAUUGAAAAUUCACAUAAUAAAAUCACAUAUAGUCUUAUAGACUAUAAUUACUGACUAAUGUAUCAGAACAUAAAAGGCAAAAUAAGUAAUAAGGUUGUCAACGGGGGCAGGUAUGGUCUGGGGGACCCUUCCUACACCCGCCCCACCAAUGAGUACAUUCCCCUGAAUCCGCACUGCCUCUAAAAACAAUUCCUUCAAAAAUUAAAUUCCUCUGAAUUUGACCCCCGUUUCCCUGAAUUUGUCCCCUUUUUCAAAAUUAAAUUCCUUCAAAAAAUCUUUUUACUACUUUUGUACAAAUAUUUUUAAUUUAAAAUCAAACAACAUGUGAUAGUUCUAUUACUAGUAACACCUUCUAUUAAAAAUGUUUUGAAUUUUUAAUUAAAUAACUUAAAGAGUUACAUAAUUACAUAUACAAAAGGCUAAUUCUGAAAAUAGUUAUAUAUAUAUAAUCGGGUUAAGGGCGGGGUGAGAGAGAGUAUCCAAAUACCCAAUAGGGUUUGGAAAUUCGGGUCUCUUUAGAUCCGGGAUAGGGUGGGUCCCAUUGGAGAAAUUGCAAUGCCUAGAAAUAAGGCAGCAUAUGGAACAAUAGGGAUAGGGAGAGAGAGAGGUGACAACAAAGUUUGGGUAGUAAGGACGCUAUGACGCUUUGUAUGAACUGAUUACAGAGACAAGUGUGCUCUUUCUUCGUUUCCAUUUCUUCAAUAUAUGUUUGUUGGAAAAUAAGAAUUUUCUUUAGAAUUCUUUACAAGUUAUUUUUAUUUAUACUCACAAGUUCCAUAUUUACAUGUUGACCGUUUUUUUCCUGCUUUAAAAUUAAAUUUUGAACUCCCCAACAUGUCCCAGCAAUCCCAGUAUACCUCAACAGAUCCCCAGUGUUUUCUGCCUCAUUUUAAAAAAAAAUAGGAAAGCCAAAUUUAUAUUCAAGGUUGUUUCAGCCACUUUUCUCCAAAACAUUUCAAAAUUUGGUUAUGCCCCAAUAACAUUUCAAAGCUUUACAGCUGCCACAAGUGCACUACACUCACAACAACAGGGAAGAUGACAUCUAUAAGAUAGAGAGAGAAAAUAGUCAUUUCAGAUAGUAAACAGAAAGAAAAAAACAAUUCCACCUAGAGUUAUAGAUGACAAUGUCAAAUAAUUGGUACUUGAUGACCUAGGUAUUUGUGGUUAUGAGAAGAUAGAACACACCUUUGGUUGUAUGACAUCAAAGUUUUUGUAAUAACACUUUUUCCCAACUUCAUCAAGCCUCUUUUUCAUGAGGCAGCUAAAAUCAUUCGCACCACAACAGAAGUCAACGAUCUAUUCAAACAAACAAAACAGGCAGUCAGAUAUAUGAUAUAUAUGAUGGUAUCACCUAAACUUCAUUUUUAUUUUAAUCGAAGGAAUCAUCUAAAACUUCAAGGACAUUUUCCACUGAAAUAGUGUUUGCUAUAAAGCAAUAAAGUAUAAACCAAUAUGAGUGAUUUGCACUGGUGACAUCAUGAAAUUGAACUGCAACAUUAAUACACAAACUAAUAUACAUAUGGUAAAAAACAAUAAUCAUAGACAAUGAACCACAUUAUAAUAUUGCCCAGGUACGAUAUGCAAAAACAUCGGCUCUGCCAGUCUAUGGUUGAAUUCAAACCAAUAGCAAGUUUCAAGUACGAGGAAUCAAGUUCUCUGUAUGAGGAUUCGACAAUUAAGCAAAUCUAAAAAAAAUUUGGAUUUUAGAAAAUACUAAUACUAAUACUAAUACAUUUACAUUGACUUCGUACAUUUGAAAAGUCAAGGUCCCUUCUGAAGUCGAGACUUUUGUGUGGUUUGGUUUCUGGUUUUACAAAGAUUAAAAAACUAAUGACUUUUAUCAAGGUCGCAAGAGUUAUGAGACACAUGCUCAUUUAUUUUUGCAUUGUCCUUUUGCUUGCGAAUUGUGGAGCUCUCUUUGGAGUGCUACGAGAGGAGUGUGUGUGUCUUGCAAUGGUGGAAGAUAUGUUACUAAUUCGUUUUAGAGGAUUUAGAAGUAAAAGAGAUACCAAAAUUUUAUGAAAAUGUGCCUUCUUUUCUUCUAUCCUGUGAGAAAUUUGGAAUGGGCAUAAUACUAGGUUGUUUAGAGAAAGUCUAUUAUUUAAAGUUAUUGAAUGAUAGGAUUAUUUUUCUUGCGUCUCUGUGGACUUUUGCUAUGGGGGCUUUUAGAGUUAUCUUUGUUAUUGAUUUAUAUAAAGAUUGGAGGGUUGCACUUUUUUAAGAGCUUUUAUUUUUGUUUUUGAUUUUUUUAUUUUGCUGAGGGUGGACUUCUUGUCUCCCAUUUAUUGAAUCCUUUCUUUUCUAAUAAUAAAAUUUCUUCUUUUAUCAAAAAAAAUAAUAAUACUACUAAAUAAUAAUUUUCAUAGUUGGAUCAUUAUGAUUUAGCACAUUAGCUCCAUUAGCUUAUGUGCACUAAGCAUGCUCUUGAAAACGAGAACUAUUAGUCUAUCUCCAUUGUACGAUAUAAUUCUAUCAGAGGUUCAGUCUCAAAAGGCUCAAAUUUAAUACUAUUUUUACUAAAUUUGCCUAUUACUUAAGCUCUGCUAAAUUAUCCAAAUAGACGUUUGAAGACAUGCAUAUAAUACUGGCUACUGCAGACUUGUGUUCACAUUCAAAAGUAACUAUAUUUAUUCCAAUCACAUCCAUUGACCUCAAGUUAGUAUAUGUCAUACACAUUAUACAAAUUAAAUAGCAAACAGAAUUUUCAAAACUACGUCUAAUACAGGCCGCCAUCAACUCUGAAAUGUUUAACUUCAGUUACCCCCUAAAACCUUUUUGAGUGUGGGUAAUGCCUUGCACACAACACAAUUACCUUAGAACUACUGAAAUUUUGAAAUAAAAAAUGUCAAGAAAAAUAUAUCCAAAAAUACACAACAAAGAUGAGGAUCAUAAAGGAAGCUUAAACACAAGUUGCAACAAAGAUUUUCCACUUUUUUUGAAAUUGUAUCCUUCAAAGUUUAAUGAAAUCAAUCCAAGUGAAAUGUCGGGUAUUAAAUCAAAAUAAGACAUUCUAUAUUUUUUUUUGUGCCUUGAAUCCUAUGUCCCAGCCCAAAGUAAAAUUUGUGGUGACCUGAAGGGAGAAAAAACUGAAGGUAUGAACUUUUUUCUAUUUGGAUUCAGAUUCCCUUCAUGGAUUUAGUGUUGGUCGCACAUAAAUAUGAAAGAUAUUAUGUUAUAUAGCUUAGGUAGCCAGAGAAUUGGGUAUUAUUCGGAUCAAGGUUUCAAAGAGUUUCCUUCACACUUAUUGUACUCCUUUUUUCGGUUAGUAAAUUUUUCUUCUUCUCACCGUGGAUGUAGGCAAAAGCCAAAACAGAUUUUUCUGUGUGUUUUACACCAGGACCUAGAGACUUGAAACCUACUAAAUUGACUAACACAAAUAUAUGCAAACCUUAUUAUCAAUAUUUGCAUCAAUAGCAGAAAAAAUUGAUUAAACCUUCAUCUUCUUAUUGUCUUCCAAUUUCCAAAGCUAACAAGUAAAUGAGAAUGAAUAUCAAUGAAAGAUUAGACGCUCCAAAUACUUUAAAUCUGAUGAAUCAAUAGAUUGAUAUACAAUCAGUUUUUCAGAGAAAGCAGGCAAAACAAGACUCUUAGAGACUACUAAAAGCCUUGUGCAGAGUAAGAUCGUUGAAACCAAUUUCAGUGUUCCUCGAAUUUUAAUACAAAACCCUAAACCAAAGAACUAAAUGCACGCUUUUAGAUGUAGAAGUCAAUUCUUAUAACUUCUUGUCAACUUUUUGCAAGUACAGAAAUUUCUAUCAAGCACCAAACGUGGUGCAACCCUUGUAUAAUUGGUGCAUAAGAGUUCAUCAAAAAAGUUUAUAUAAGACGAUAUUUUUUAUGGGUAACUUCCAUCUAUAAACAUUGAAGAGUAUGCAUAAAAACAAAUUUCUAUAUCUCCUAAGAUGAACGCCUGUUGAUCUCUCGGCUAAACUCCACAUAAGACCUAAAUAUAUUCUUCAAAGUUCUUUGCAUAGUCCAUUAUACCCCAAAAAAAAAAUAAAAAAAACAAACAACCACGCUAUAAUUUUAUGAUUGUAGUUCCAUAUUCAAAACACACUCGAACAACUUUUUCUAUUAGAGGGUCACAUAUACAGGAAUAUCAAAUAAGAAUUAAAACAAAUGUACAAAUUCAAGGAGAGAUAUAGAGAGCACAACUUCUCACCAUGUCACCAUCUUGAGCAUACCAAUGGAGUAUAUCAACAACCUGCACAAGGAAAAUAACAUUUUCAGAUGUCCCCAAAGCUGCCCAAAGAGUUGAAUAAUUUCAACUCCGAUCAUGUUUAUUUAUGACGUAACCAAAAUUCCAUAAUAUUCUAGUUAAGUAGUAUGGCCUUCUCACUUGAAGAAAUAGAAGCUUCAACUUGAAAACAUACUAAACCAAUGAUGUCUACUAAUUAUGUUUUGAAGAAAAACUCAAUUUAAGGUCAACAAAGUUAAAUGCAUGAAGAAAUGAUUGAAGGUUCACUUAGCUUCUUUCAUGACUUUAUUUACUUCCAUUGUUUAUAGAAAUUUACAUACAUACAUACACACACACACACACACACACACAUAUAUAUAUAUAAAAUAAGUUAUGCACUAGCAACUCAAGGAUACGAUUUGGGUAUGGCAAUACACAUUAUCCUAUGCCAUGUUGUAUAAUGGUUAGUGUUCUAAAUAUCGUUAGGCGGACCUAGGCGUCGUAGGGGGCGCCUAGGAGGACUAAGCGUUUUCUUAGAUGUUCUCAUUUAUUUAUUUUUCUAUUGUAAAUACUUGUUAUACUAUACAAAACAUAUAACAUAUAGGAGAUGAAAUUUUUUAAAAGUUAACAUGAAACAUUACCAAAAAAUAAUCUUUUAAGACUUAAAAAAAAAUCAUUGAAGUAUAAUAGAGCUUCAAAAGUAAAGGUUUGAUUCUGCCUAGGAGGCAGGUGUCUAAGCGUCCAGCCAAAUCGAGGCAGUAGAGGACCACCUAGCACCUAGGUGAGAAUAAUCGUACAUAGGCGAGAAUUUUUAGAACACUGAUAAUGGUGAAACUCUAGCCUCGCUCGAACUACUCCCUUCUCUAUUAUAAGACUAUAUAAUACAAUAUCGAAAAAUUAUAUUCCUUGAAAAUGGUUUACACGCUUCAGUGGAAUAUUAUUUGUUAUUGUAAGAUACUAAUAAUCAUUUUUAGGGUUUGAAAAUUGUCAAAUUUUCCCUCCUAUGCCAUGUUGUAUUAUGUUAAACUCUAAACUCGCUCGUUAACUACUUGUUUCUCUAUUAUAAGACAAUUCUCUAGUUUUUUCCAGCACUGGUAUACAAUUAGUUAUUGUAAGCAUAAUUGUCACGACGUCAAGGCGAGACGCAACAAUAGUUGACCGCUAGGACGCCUAGGCGUACGCCAUGUCGUCCGUAUGGCGAUAAGUCGUUAAUAAUGUGCAAUUUAUACAUUAUUUUAUUUCAAAAGUAUGUUGCACAAUAAAAUUAUAUACACUAAAACCCAAAACAUAAUAAUUAACACAGUCUCUACUCUAUUUCUAGUCAUAUCUCAAGCAAAGUCAUCAACUAUGAAGUCAUUUCCAUCUCCCUCAUGAGCAUUACUCUCGUUCAAAGGAGUAGGGUCAUGGGUUAGGUUGAGUCACUUGGAUAAUUAUGGGUUAUGAUGAGUCAUGGUAAAAAAGGACUUUAUCACUUAACUUGGGUCCGCCACCAAUGUGUGAGCCUUGUCGCCUAGACGACGCCAUGGCAACUAUGAUUGUAAGAUGUUAAGAUAUAUUUUAGGGGUCUACAAGACAUCGUAAUACUUGUAAUAAUUAUGAUUUUUUUUAUUAUUUGUAAGUAAUCAAGGUUAUCAAGGCGUUGCCGGUUGACUACUGGCAAGGCGAGGUCACACCAUAGUAAAAGGCUCAAAGGCGAGCGCUUUGGCCUUCAAGUCAUCGCUCAGGCGUCGCCUUGGGCGACUUCUUUUCAAAUUGUACACCAAAGAGAGGGAUCGUUGAGCUAGAAAAGAGGAUUUUAGAGUCUAUUAGUAAGGCACAAACCUGAUUUCAACAGAGUUUUGAUUCUCUUGUUGCCUGCACCAUUAACGAUACUUUAAAGCUCAUUCCUUUUCUUCUCCUUCAACCGAAGCUUAUUCUCUCCGUUCUCUUCCUUGUGUGGUGGUUGUAAUCUAUAAAAACCCUAAACUAUCUCCCUCCUUAUUCCCGUUAUGCCCUCUAUUGGGCUACUGUUUUUACUAUGCAGAAUUAUAGUUGAGUCUUGUUCAAAUAAAUAUCAUAAGCCCAAGCCCAAAUUCAAUUUUUCAAAACUGAUUAAAUUUUGUUUAUGUAUGAAAAGUUAUUUGUAUUAAAGGCUUCCACUUGUUUAUAAAUAUUCUCUCAAAUAUUCUUUAAGCUAGUUAUUUUGUAGAUUCCUAUGUUCCACAAAUAGUGAGAUAUUUAAUUUGCAUUAAAUUAGGUUAUCUAAAUGUUAAAAAAAUUGUGAAAUUGAUGCCAUUAAAAAUCUGUCGAGUUUCCUUCUCUAUUUCGCAAUAGAAAAUUAAAUAUAAUAUAUAAUGUUAUUUAAAAAUACUCUAAAUGUUUUAUUAAUUAUUAUUAUUAUGUCUAAAUUCUAAUUAAUUAACUAUGAUUAAUAAAAUACAAUACUCCAUUCAUCUGAUUUCAUAAGAAAUAAAAAUUGAUUAUUUAACAUGAAUUUUAUGACUUUUCGAUUAAAAUUACAUAUUAUAUUUCCUUGUGUUUCAUAUGAGAAAAGAAAAUCUAUAAUAUAAUUACAUUCAAAUAAAAGGACAAAAUCCAAAACGGAUCCAACUAAUGUGACAUAAAUUGGAAUAUAUGUUGAAUAUAUUUUUGAAGUACUAUAUAUGUAUAAUGUAAACGACUUAUCACUUUAUGAAAGACUAGGCGAACGCCCAAUCACCUAGGCAUCAGGCGCCCAGCCAUCACCUCGCUCUCCUUAACACCUUGAUAACUAUGUAAGUAAUACAGUAAUUAUGUAUUAUUAGUUCAAAUAUCAUUGAAGUUUAUGAUUGUCGAAUAAAAUUAUAUUCUGAAUGAUGGUUAAAACUUAGAUUUCAUUUAAAUUGUUUGCGUGUACUUUAUAUAGCUAGUUUCUGAUUCUCCUCUCAUGGGAAUCACAAAAAACAAGAUAUUCAUCAGUCUUAUUGAAGUGGAAAUACAGCGUUCCAUAUUCUACACUGCUCAUUUGCUGGCCUCAGUCAAAUUACGUUCCAGCAAGUGAACCCUGAAUAAGCUAGGCCCAGAAAGCAUAUCAAACUUGCAUUUUCAUGUCUAACAGUCUUGGUGACUGUAACUACUUGUGCGAUUGCAUGAGCAGUUAUACGAGUCUAACCCAAAAGUAUAUUUUGGAGGGAAAAAAACUUAACAGUAUGACUUUUGGCAUUUAAGUACAUAACCAGAAAAAUAUAAACCACAAAUGCUUCAAGGAUUAAAAUAAGGCCACACAUGGCCCUUCAAUUUAAAAUGCAGUCAAUUAACCAAUUCUUUUCAGUCCUUCAAACCACUCAAAUAACUACACUGUAAAUUGGCAGAAAAUAUUUGAGAUAGCAACUUCUGUAGACUUACCAAGCAAGAGCAAGUAUGUCUAUAACUAUGCUUAUUAUUUACUUGAGAGACAAAUAUAAAAAUAAAAAGUAACUCACCUUUUUCAGCUUGUCCAAUUUUGUAAAAUGACGACCAAAUGACGUAUAACGCAUGCCAUGUAGAAAUGGUGCAAGAUAUACUCUGAGCUUGUUCUACAGCAAUACAAAUAAAUUAAAAACAAAGAAACAAAACAAAAUGUUUUCACAAAACAUGAAAUCAAAUAACAACAAACCAAAUCCAUCCUCGAUAAUCUAUUGUAAAAGUUAAUUGACCAAAAACUCUAAAAUUAUUAAAUUAAAAACAUUCUAUUAUCGAUAUCCAUCUAGAAAAUUAUAAACAGGGUAAGGAGGUGGCCAUUUUCUGAAAACACCUAUACAUCAAAUAGAAUUAAGGGCGAAGACCUGGAAAAAAAAUAGAAGAGAAACUUCGAUUAAAAAAGUUUCAUCAAUUCGGAUAUGAGCCCUUUCAAGAAUGAGAACAAGAGCGACAAUACUCUGAUACUAUAUCACCCAAACACACUACUGAACUGUAAAGCAUAUAGUCAACUUCUCCUAGCAUAACGGGAAUUUGGAAAUCCCAGGUAUGAUUCAGGGCAUGUCCCAUCAACUCUUAUACUCUGUUAUAUAGGAGUGCUAAUAAGUUGGUAUAGUAAGUGAAUUGUUCUCUGCCUUGCUAUGUGCCUGAUCUAUAAACUUCUGAAACAUAGGCCAGCAUAAACCACUAAAUCUUCUAUCCAACUAAUUCAAUAAAAAAAGGGUGGGGAUCAAAUACGGAGACAACUUGACCGUUUAUUUCUAUCAAAAUAAAAACAACAUAUAAAAGAACAAGGGCAAACAUUAAUUGGAACAAAUGGUUAAAACUGAACAAGUACCUUCCACUUCAUCAUUUCGCUUAGAAGCCCAGGCCCACAAACAGCUUUUGCAUCUUCAAUACUGCACCCUUCUUCUAGCUUCUGUACAGCUGCACGAAGAGCCUGUAAAUGCACGGAUGGAGUCUUGUAGUAAGAAGCUUCCAGAUAUUGAAUAUAUUCAUAACUCUAUAAUACACUGAAAACAUAGGAAAUACCUCAACAGAACCCUCCACUUUCCCCAAGGUAAUGGUCUUGUCAACAGAAUUUUUUGAUGAGUAUGCAUGUGUCGUUGGCACUUUGUGUUUUUCAUUGAUCUCUGCCAGAGUUAUUGAAGAUGUAGCAUCUUUCAUCAAAGCCAAUAUUCUGCAUUAAAAUAACAGAUGUCAAUACUCAAUACAUGACUCAUCUACUUCAUGCACCACCACUUCAACCAUAUUCUCCAGUCCAAGCUUGUACAGCAAAACCAUCUUAGGGUUUUAGAUAUUAAAAAUAAUAAUAAUAAAAUAACAAAAAGAGAGAGAUGAGAGGGGGGGAGAUUUUAUGGAAUCAAAAGAAGUCACCUCUUCUCUGACACAGCAUCCAGAGGCGGCAAAUUGCUUGUUUCCUUGGCAACAGACUUAACAGCAUAGGUCUGAUCAUGCUCACCAUCAGCUGCAUCAUUCUUUCUAGGCUUAAUGGGCUCAGAACCCUUACUAACCAAGGCAUAUAACCUGUUCCCCAGGGAAGUCUUGUUUUCAUCUGGGGAGGACUUGAACUUUGAGGAAGUCUUGCUCAAAGGCUUCCGAGAAAUAUCCAUUAAUUUAUGUUUCUUUGAAGAAUCCUUCCCAAUAACAAUGCCAUCACUCUUUUUAGGAAAAUUACCCCGUUUUAUAGUGACUGACAACUUAUCCCUGGUUAUCGGUGGUUUCACAUAAGUUUUCAUCCUGGAGGCAUCUUCUAAGACUAGAGAUUUCUUCUUUAAUAUGACUGUCUCUUUUCUUGACUGCAUCUCUGAUGCUUGCUUUUUUUUCUUCUCUUCACCCGGGAAUUUUAUGUGGUUUCUUAUAGGAGUUAAAAGAUCAUCGUCAAUCUCAUGUUCUCUGACAAGAAGGAAAAGUAUUAACUUUCCAAACAAAGGUAAUUAAUCACUCGCUAAAGUAAGUCAUAAUUUUCUAAUUACAGAAUAUGAAAUCAUGGAUGGCAACUGCACUUACAAGCAAUAUAUCAAUAUACGUUUCUUUGGCAUAAGUUUUUCCCAAGCCCUUGGUAUGAUGUCCACAUCCUCUGGAUCGUCAAAACAAAUUUCCCUGGUCAAAGUUACUAAAUCAUCAACUAUCCGCAUACACUCACUAAGGUUAGAUAAAAAAGAUACUGUUAAAAACAAAAAAUAGGAUAAAGAAUGUAGGGAGUACGUGGGCAAACACUUCCUAUGGUAUGACUUUGGACAACGUCUGCACAUUGCAAACCGCAAGUCCGGAUGCUGCUCAGUUUCUGUCUGUUUACAGACACAACAUUUAUGAAAAGGACAUGUGAAUGAUGCCCCAUUAUUUAUCUUCUUUUCCAGCUCUUCCGCAUGAGAUUCGCUGUCAGGGUGUAGCAGCUUUGAAACACAACGUGGAUGAUAAAACCGACCACAUUCUCCAGACACACAGCGGAAGACCUAAAUAGCAAUGAAGAUAAAUAUAUAGAAAUCUACUAGCAUAAAGAUUGAAUUCAGAAUUCCUAUUCACAAAGACCACAAAAAAAUCCACUGCAAAUUGUGUAGACAGGAGAACAACAAGAUAUGGAUCGACCACCGUAGUGAUUAUAAAAAUUUCAAUCACUAUCAGAGUAAUCUAUGUUAUGAACAUAGAUUUAACUGCAAUGCAACCACAUACAGGUUACAAGACUUGCAUAUAAUCAUUUAUACUAUAUGAUUCUAUGCUACCCCUUGCUUUCGCCACCUAUACGAUUAGGUCACUUCUUCACGUUCUAUUAUGCCUACGUGGGAUUCUUUUAAUUUUCUUUCAAACUAAUAUGUUCCCAAUCUUUCACAAAUUUUCUUACAAUCUCCAUCACCAUCUUCAGAUUCCAUUUUUUUUAAUCAUUAAUUUUAGGAUUCCACUGUAGUUUUACUCUUUCUCACUUACUAUACAUGAAUACAUAUACACCAUGUGUGUGGGUGUUGUGUGUAUAUGAACAAAUUACUACUAUAAAGUAUAAAACAGGAAAAAGUUAUUUAAGUACUAUUUCUCCUCCGAUGAACUUCAAAUUUUUAAAAACAACAUUAUUAUAUGCAUCAUGUAUAGUUGGGGAAAAGAAACCUUCAAUAUUUGUCUUUCUUAGUAUACAAUAGAUUUUGUACAUUAUGCCUAAUAUUGAAUUAAAGUGUCAUUUCAUUUGAUUUAACUAGCAAAAUAAGAA
Molecule: long non-coding RNA, 37456 nt
Filed under: Panax ginseng (ginseng)
Lineage: Eukaryota; Viridiplantae; Streptophyta; Magnoliopsida; Apiales; Araliaceae
Description: long non-coding RNA (PGIN_LNC002094)
Source: RNAcentral